UGUCAGGACAUCAACCCAGGAUGUUAAAAGGAAGAUGAGGGCUGGAGAGAUGGCUCAGCCGUUAAAGGAUAAGCUCACAACCAAAAAUAAAAGGAAGAUGAAAGAGGAUUACACUUGCAUUCAGAGUAAUUGCUGGGGUUGCAGGCCUGCACCAUCAGACCUGUGACUUAGUGAGGAGCACUGCAAGUGAAGCACAGUAGCCCCCUGUUCCUGGAGCGACUGCUUUCAGUGGUAUCCUCUUCUCUAGGCAAUGGUAUUAGAUAAUCAUGUGAUUCAGAUGUAAAUUCCCUAAAUGGAAGGGAUGAGAAGCAGGUGCUGGGAAUGAAACCCAGGGCCUUAUGAGGCAAUGUAUUGGCCUGGAAAUAUCCUGAGUGAAGUAACCCAGUCCCAAAAGGAUAUGCAUGGUAUGCACUCCCUGAUAAGUGGAUAUUCUCCAAAAAUACAAAAUACCCAUGAUAUACCCCCACAGGAUCUAAGAAGUUAAACAAGAAUGAAGGCCCAGUGUGAAGAUGGAACCUUAAAAGACUAUCUCCAGGAAAUAGGACUCUUCUGGUCUCUAUCUGCUUUCAGACCUAAGGCUGUCCCACAGCCCUUCAGACCAAAACAUGCCCAGAGAGAACUGGUCUCUCAGGAGCGCACUCACUCCUAAGCCCACAGCUCUGCUGAAAUGAAGAGAGAAAAGAAGGAAGAAAGAUAAAGAAAGAAAGAGGUCAAGGUAGGGAAG
RNAcentral lists this long non-coding RNA (724 nucleotides) under Rattus norvegicus (Norway rat). Its description in RNAcentral is "long non-coding RNA NONRATT000305". The record is from RNAcentral. Lineage: Eukaryota; Metazoa; Chordata; Mammalia; Rodentia; Muridae.